ACAAGGCCUUUACUGACGCUAAAGCUCGAAGGUGCGGGUAUCGAACAGGAUUAGAUACCCUGGUAGUUCGCACGGUAAACGAUGGAUGCCCGCUGUUUGCGAUAUACUGUGAGCGGCCAAGAGAAAUCGUUAAGCAUCCCACCUGGGGAGUACGCCGGCAACGGUGAAACUCAAAGGAAUUGACGGGGGCCCGCACAAGCGGAGAAACAUGUGGUUUAAUUCGAUGAUACGCGAGGAACCUUACCCGGGCUUGAACUGCAGCGGAAGGAUACAGAGAUGUUGACGUCCUUCGGGACCGCUGUGGAGGUGCUGCAUGGUUGUCGUCAGCUCGUGCCGUGAGGUGUCGGCUUAAGUGCCAUAACGAGCGCAACCCCUUUCAUUAGUUGCCAUCACUUCGGGUGGGCACUCUGGUGAUACUGCCACCGUAAGGUGUGAGGAAGGUGGGGAUGACGUCAAAUCAGCACGGCCCUUACGUCCGGGGCUACACACGUGUUACAAUGGGUGAUACAGAUGGCCGGUGCAUGGCAAUGUGCAUCAAAUCUUGAAAGUCAUCCUCAGUUCGGAUUGGGGUCUGCAACCCGACCCCAUGAAGCUGGAUUCG
Molecule: ribosomal RNA, 601 nt
Filed under: uncultured bacterium
Lineage: Bacteria
Description: bacterial SSU rRNA
Rfam family: Bacterial small subunit ribosomal RNA
Source: RNAcentral